CCUACGGGUGGCUGCAGUGGGGAAUAUUGGACAAUGGGGGCAACCCUGAUCCAGCCAUGCCGCGUGUGUGAAGAAGGCCCUCGGGUUGUAAAGCACUUUCAGGGAGGAAGAACGCCUGGUGGUUAAUACCCAUCAGGAAAGACAUCACUCACAGAAGAAGCACCGGCUAACUCCGUGCCAGCAGCCGCGGUAAUACGGAGGGUGCGAGCGUUAAUCGGAAUUACUGGGCGUAAAGCGCGCGUAGGUGGCUUGAUAAGCCGGUUGUGAAAGCCCCGGGCUCAACCUGGGAACGGCAUCCGGAACUGUCAAGCUAGAGUGCAGGAGAGGAAGGUGGAAUUCCCGGUGUAGCGGUGAAAUGCGUAGAGAUCGGGAGGAAUACCAGUGGCGAAGGCGGCCUUCUGGACUGACACUGACACUGAGGUGCGAAAGCGUGGGUAGCAAACAGGAUUAGAUACCCCGGUAGUC
RNAcentral lists this ribosomal RNA (465 nucleotides) under Vreelandella stevensii. Its description in RNAcentral is "partial 16S ribosomal RNA". It matches the Rfam family "Bacterial small subunit ribosomal RNA", at positions 338 to 795 of the family's 1533-position model. Lineage: Bacteria; Pseudomonadati; Pseudomonadota; Gammaproteobacteria; Oceanospirillales; Halomonadaceae. The record is from RNAcentral.